CCCAAGAGAAGCAGACAGACUCUGACCCAAGCUCUGCAUCACCCGGGUGUGUUGACGUCCCUGUUGUCGGAGAACGUGGCCGCUUCUUGUGAAGUGAGAGAAGAAAGCAGAAGACGUGUCUUCCUGAGAGGAGGCCACUGCUGGUGAGGAAGAGCCAUCGGCCCACGGCCAGAGUGCUCACCGCACCACCCCUUCUGUCCUCACAGCAACCCUGUGAGAUGGGCACCAGGAUUCUUGUUUCCAGACGAGGACACUGAGUGCCAGAGAACAUGAGCAAGUGACCCAGAUCAUUUGGCCAACAAAUGACGUCCGAUGGAAUGGAAAGUCAUGAAGAAAGAGGAAGGAGCGCUGCUGGGGUCAGCUGAAACCACUCGUCACUGCCGGGGUAUGAGGUAUGAAUCUUGCACAAGCUGGGUUUGUCCCCACCAAAUGCAAGAUGUGUGACCUGUCUACGCUGGAGGACUACAUCUUCCCAGAGGGGCAGAGGCCUGGCAGAGCAUGAGUGACCGCCAAGACCAUAACACUGGACAGUGGAGAGGCCUCAGAGAGGAUGAACCCAGUACAUGCCUGAGAACUGAAUUGAAGCCUGAGACCAGCUCUGGGUCUUCCCACCACCACACAGAUCCUCAGCACGGAGCAAAGAUGAAACCCAGGGCUCCCCACCUGUGGGCCAGCUCUCUACACCAUCACACCAGCUGCCCUAGGCCACCGCAUACCUUUAAACACGSCCUUGACCGCACCUCCUGGGCAUGUCCUGGAAGAACCUUGCUGGGGGUCUCACAUCACCCCACAACAUGGCCUUAGGAGACCACAAUAUGCCACCCUAAAAUAUGCUUCUCUAGCAUAUUUUGGGCUCAUUAUUUUACAAAACUGCAUAACAGUAGCUUGGAAAGUCUGUCCUUUUGUAAAAUAUUUCAAGAAAUCUACAAUAAUAAACGACUCCUAUCAGGAUAGCGCUGCCCUGCUCGUGGGCAGCGUUUUGUCUGCAGGUGGGACAACUUUUAAGCCCCAUGUGUUCUCUCUCCCAUCCCCAGAGUCCCCAGGCCCCUGCUCCUCCCUGUAGCUCAGGAUGCUAGAUGGGCUUCCUUCUCCUGGCUCUUCCUUGAGUCCUGUGUGUUAUGGGACUUCUGUGUGUUGAGUGUGUACAAUUAAACAUGC
Molecule: long non-coding RNA, 1158 nt
Organism: Urocitellus parryii (Arctic ground squirrel)
Lineage: Eukaryota; Metazoa; Chordata; Mammalia; Rodentia; Sciuridae
Source: RefSeq, a predicted model, not a curated record